This 84-nucleotide transfer RNA is filed under the name Bacteroidales bacterium. Its description in RNAcentral is "tRNA-Leu". It matches the Rfam family "tRNA". Rfam says of the family: Transfer RNA (tRNA) molecules are approximately 80 nucleotides in length. Their secondary structure includes four short double-helical elements and three loops (D, anti-codon, and T loops). Further hydrogen bonds mediate the characteristic L-shaped molecular structure. tRNAs have two regions of fundamental functional importance: the anti-codon, which is responsible for specific mRNA codon recognition, and the 3' end, to which the tRNAs corresponding amino acid is attached (by aminoacyl-tRNA synthetases). tRNAs cope with the degeneracy of the genetic code in two manners: having more than one tRNA (with a specific anti-codon) for a particular amino acid; and 'wobble' base-pairing, i.e. permitting non-standard base-pairing at the 3rd anti-codon position. The record is from RNAcentral. Lineage: Bacteria; Pseudomonadati; Bacteroidota; Bacteroidia; Bacteroidales.
GCCCAGGUGGUGGAAUUGGUAGACACGAAGGACUUAAAAUCCUUUGGCCGCAAGGCCGUGCGGGUUCAAGUCCCGCCCCGGGUA